RNAcentral lists this unclassified non-coding RNA (224 nucleotides) under Hevea brasiliensis (rubber tree). Lineage: Eukaryota; Viridiplantae; Streptophyta; Magnoliopsida; Malpighiales; Euphorbiaceae. The record is from RNAcentral.
GAUAAACAUCUGAAUACUACAGUGACUUAAUACUACAGUGACUUAAUUCAACAGGCGGCUGAGGAUGGCGUGUACGGAACGGGAAUCAAGUGCAGAUCAUUUUUCCUUCUAACUGUAGCGCCAAAAGACUCGAUCAUAUCUAGAGUUUCUGCCUUCAAUCCACUUGCAAGUUUCCAAUCAAAAUGAUAAAGAAACUGUGCAAGUGGAAGCUCAACAUUAGCUAU